GAUUAUGGCUCAGAACGAACGCUGGUGGCGUGUCUUAUACAUGCAAGUCGAGCGAGGCAGCAAUGCCGAGCGGCGAACGGGUGAGUAACGCGUAAGCAAUCUGCCCCAUAUCAGGAAAUACCCGUGCCAACGCGCGGUUAAUGUCCAGGAGAGUGGCCCUCUGCAUGGAGGGUUGACUAGAGAUUUAUCGGUAUGGGAUGAGCUUGCGUCCGAUUAGCUAGUUGGCGGGGCAACGGCCCACCAAGGCGACGAUCGGUAGCCGGCCUGAGAGGGUGAUCGGCCACAUUGGGACUGAGAUACGGCCCAGACUCCUACGGGAGGCAGCAGUAGGGAAUAUUGCACAAUGGGGGAAACCCUGAUGCAGCAACGCCACGUGUGGGAAGAAGCAUUUCGGUGUGUAAACCACUGUCAUGAGGGAAUAAGGCCCAGUUUAGGCUGGGAUUGAAUGUACCUUGAGAGGAAGCACCGGCAAACUUCGUGCCAGCCGCCGC
This 491-nucleotide ribosomal RNA is filed under the name uncultured bacterium. RNAcentral describes it as "bacterial SSU rRNA". It matches the Rfam family "Bacterial small subunit ribosomal RNA", at positions 15 to 518 of the family's 1533-position model. The record is from RNAcentral.